Molecule: transfer RNA, 69 nt
Filed under: Rattus norvegicus (Norway rat)
Lineage: Eukaryota; Metazoa; Chordata; Mammalia; Rodentia; Muridae
Rfam family: tRNA
About the family: Transfer RNA (tRNA) molecules are approximately 80 nucleotides in length. Their secondary structure includes four short double-helical elements and three loops (D, anti-codon, and T loops).
Source: Rfam by way of RNAcentral
GGGGAUUUAGCUCAGUGGUAGAGCACUUGCCUAGCAAGCACAAGACCCUGGGUUCCAUCCCCAGCUCCA